Molecule: long non-coding RNA, 563 nt
Filed under: Monodelphis domestica (gray short-tailed opossum)
Lineage: Eukaryota; Metazoa; Chordata; Mammalia; Didelphimorphia; Didelphidae
Description: lncRNA (ENSMODG00000042200.1)
Source: RNAcentral
AGCAGAAGGAGAAGCUGGGUUCGGUGUGGGGAAAGCUCUUUUUCAGACACAAAUAGCUUUGAUAACAGCAGGAGAAAACAUAGAAAAUUACUGCCAAUGUAAAAUAACUUGUCAUAUAAAUGCUUCUGUCAACUGUGCCCAUGUUAUAAGGGCCCCUGAAGGAUAUGUGUCAGAUCUUAGAUGUGUCUGAUCGUGCAUAUCCAGAUACUGGAACUUAGUGUUGGGAGCUCUGCAAGACUGAUGUACAUCUGAUAGGUGUAUACCAUCUCCGUGACUGUCUCAAAAACUCAUCCCUUUUAAUGAUGCUGUUUGAACACUGCUGGUCCUUUGCAAACUCUGCCUCAUGAAUAAUACAGCAACCUGGCAUCACAUGAACUGCACAAGCGUCUUCCAAUUUCGCGGUCUAUUCUUGUGAAUGAUGAUAGACAUUCUGGCCACCUCGAGUACAACCAUAUUGUCUCUGCACAGAUGAAGCAGAUUUAUCACUUUUUCUCUUCCCUUCUAUCCAACAAAUCAUCUUGUGUAACAAAGAAAAAAAAGGGAAAAUAUCCAGCAAAUCCAAG